AACGAACGCUGGCGGCGUGCCUAACACAUGCAAGUCGUGCGAGAAAGUUCCUUCGGGAACGAGUAAAGCGGCGCACGGGUGAGUAACACGUAGGUAACCUGCCCCCCAGUCUGGAACAACUAGAGGAAACUCUAGCUAAUGCCGGAUGAGACCACGAUCCCUUCGGGGGUUGCGGCCAAAGAUGGCCUCUACUUGUAAGCUAUCGCUGAGGGAUGGGCCUGCGGGCCAUUAGCUUGUUGGUGAGGUAACGGCUCACCAAGGCUGUGAUGGCUAGCUGGUCUGAGAGGAUGACCAGCCACACUGGGACUGAGACACGGCCCAGACUCCUACGGGAGGCAGCAGU
Molecule: ribosomal RNA, 343 nt
Filed under: uncultured bacterium
Lineage: Bacteria
Description: bacterial SSU rRNA
Rfam family: Bacterial small subunit ribosomal RNA
Source: RNAcentral